Molecule: transfer RNA, 71 nt
Filed under: Acidimicrobiia bacterium
Lineage: Bacteria; Bacillati; Actinomycetota; Acidimicrobiia
Description: tRNA-Gln
Rfam family: tRNA
About the family: Transfer RNA (tRNA) molecules are approximately 80 nucleotides in length. Their secondary structure includes four short double-helical elements and three loops (D, anti-codon, and T loops). Further hydrogen bonds mediate the characteristic L-shaped molecular structure. tRNAs have two regions of fundamental functional importance: the anti-codon, which is responsible for specific mRNA codon recognition, and the 3' end, to which the tRNAs corresponding amino acid is attached (by aminoacyl-tRNA synthetases). tRNAs cope with the degeneracy of the genetic code in two manners: having more than one tRNA (with a specific anti-codon) for a particular amino acid; and 'wobble' base-pairing, i.e. permitting non-standard base-pairing at the 3rd anti-codon position.
Source: RNAcentral
UCGGGGGUGGUGUAAUGGCAACACUGCGGGUUCUGGUCCCGUCAUUGAGGGUUCGAAUCCUUCCCCCCGAG